UACGGGGGGGGCAAGCGUUGUUCGGAAUUACUGGGCGUAAAGGGCCCGUAGGCGGCCAACUAAGUCGGAUGUGAAAUCCCCAGGCUCAACUUGGGAACUGCAUCCGAUACUGGAUGGCUUGAAUCCGGGAGAGGGAUGCAGAAUUCCAGGUGUAGCGGUGAAAUGCGUAGAUAUCUGGAGGAAUACCGGUGGCGAAGGCGGCAUCCUGGACCGGCAUUGACGCUGAUGAGCGAAAGCUAGGGGAGCAAACGGG
This 253-nucleotide ribosomal RNA is filed under the name uncultured bacterium. Its description in RNAcentral is "partial 16S ribosomal RNA". It matches the Rfam family "Bacterial small subunit ribosomal RNA", at positions 524 to 776 of the family's 1533-position model. The record is from RNAcentral.